GCGAGGAUAGCUCAGCGGCUAAGAGCACCGGGUUUCAUUCCGGAGAGACUGGUUCAACUCCAGUUCCUCGCC
RNAcentral lists this transfer RNA (72 nucleotides) under Hyphomicrobiales bacterium. RNAcentral's name for it is "Rhizobiales bacterium (soil metagenome) tRNA-OTHER". It matches the Rfam family "tRNA". From Rfam's summary of the family: Transfer RNA (tRNA) molecules are approximately 80 nucleotides in length. Their secondary structure includes four short double-helical elements and three loops (D, anti-codon, and T loops). The record is from RNAcentral. Lineage: Bacteria; Pseudomonadati; Pseudomonadota; Alphaproteobacteria; Hyphomicrobiales.